CUUUACGCGAUAGUGAUUGCAGCGGCAUCCUUUUUGUAAAGCAUUUAAAUAGGCUAUGCUUUAAUUUUUAACUGAAAUUUCUUUGGAAUUGAACAGAUCCUGAAACAAGUUCAGGAUUGCUUUGCAAAAAGAUAUAGCGGAAAGCGCGGUUUAUU
Molecule: small RNA, 155 nt
Organism: Algibacter lectus
Lineage: Bacteria; Pseudomonadati; Bacteroidota; Flavobacteriia; Flavobacteriales; Flavobacteriaceae
Rfam family: Flavo-1 RNA
Source: Rfam